AUUGAACGCUGGCGGCAGGCCUAACUCAUGCAAGUCGAACGGUAACAGGAAGAAGCUUGCUUCUUUGCUGACGAGUGGCGGACGGGUGAGUAAUGUCUGGGAAACUGCCUGAUGGAGGGGGAUAACUACUGGAAACGGUAGCUAAUACCGCAUAACGUCGCAAGACCAAAGAGGGGGACCUUCGGGCCUCUUGCCAUCGGAUGUGCCCAGAUGGGAUUAGCUAGUAGGUGGGGUAACGGCUCACCUAGGCGACGAUCCCUAUCUGGUCUGAGAGGAUGAGCCGCCACACUGGAACUGAGACACGGUCCAGACUCCUACGGGAGGCAGCAGUGGGGAAUAUUGCACAAUGGGCGCAAGCCUGAUGCAGCCAUGCCGCGUGUAUGAAGAAGGCCUUCGGGUUGUAAAGUACUUUCAGCGGGGAGGAAGGGAGUAAAGUUAAUACCUUUGCUCAUUGACGUUACCCGCAGAAGAAGCACCGGCUAACUCCGUG
Molecule: ribosomal RNA, 490 nt
Filed under: uncultured bacterium
Lineage: Bacteria
Description: partial 16S ribosomal RNA
Rfam family: Bacterial small subunit ribosomal RNA
Source: RNAcentral